CUGCUGUCCUGCCAAGGGCACCGCAGCGUAGCUAUGUCGGGAAUGGAUAACCUCUGAAAGCAUCUAAGAGGGAAGCCAACCCCAAGAUCAGAAUUCGUUUGAGGCCCGUAAGAGAUGAUUACGUUGAUAGGCUCUAUGUGUAAGACGAGUAAUCGUUUCAGCAGAGGAGUACUAAUACGCCGAUUCCU
Molecule: ribosomal RNA, 188 nt
Filed under: Candidatus Yonathbacteria bacterium CG_4_10_14_0_8_um_filter_43_17
Lineage: Bacteria; Candidatus Yonathiibacteriota
Description: partial 23S ribosomal RNA
Rfam family: Bacterial large subunit ribosomal RNA
Source: RNAcentral